This 21-nucleotide non-coding RNA is filed under the name Caenorhabditis elegans. Lineage: Eukaryota; Metazoa; Nematoda; Chromadorea; Rhabditida; Rhabditidae. The record is from RNAcentral.
UAGAAUAAUAACAAUAUAUAU